GAUGAAGAACGCAGCGAAAUGCGAUACGUAAUGUGAAUUGCAAAUUCAGUGAAUCAUCGAGUCUUUGAACGCACAUUGCGCCCCCUGGUAUUCCGGGGGCAUGCCUGUCCGAGCGUCAUUGCUGCCCUCAAGCACGGCUUGUGUGUUGGGCCCCGUCCUCCGAUCCCGGGGGACGGGCCCGAAAGGCAGCGGCGGCACCGCGUCCGGUCCUCGAGCGUAUGGGGCUUUGUCACCCGCUCUGUAGGCCCGGCCGGCGCUUGCCGAUCAACCCAAAUUUUUUAUCCAGGUUGACCUCGGAUCAGGUAGGGAUACCCGCUGAACUUAAGCAUAUCAAUAAGCGGAGGA
This 345-nucleotide unclassified non-coding RNA is filed under the name soil metagenome. Its description in RNAcentral is "partial contains 5.8S ribosomal RNA, internal transcribed spacer 2, and large subunit ribosomal RNA". The stretch from base 1 to 118 matches the Rfam family "5.8S ribosomal RNA", at positions 35 to 154 of the family's 154-position model. The record is from RNAcentral.